RNAcentral lists this ribosomal RNA (560 nucleotides) under glacial ice bacterium ML-D1. RNAcentral's name for it is "bacterial SSU rRNA". It matches the Rfam family "Bacterial small subunit ribosomal RNA", at positions 884 to 1431 of the family's 1533-position model. The record is from RNAcentral.
GACCGCAAAGAGUUCACAUUCGGAAGGAAUUUUACGGGGACCCGCACAAGCGGCGGUGCAUGGGGAUUCAUUCGAUGCGAGGCGCAGAACCUUACCAAGGAUUGACAUAUACGAGCCACGGGCCAGAUUUGGUCAACUCGUUGGACAAUCGUGAACAGGUGUGCCAUGGUUGUCGUCAGCUCGGGGUCGUGAGAUGUUGGAUUAAGUCCCGCCACGAGGCAACCCUCGUUGUAUGUCGACAACACGUAAUGUUGGGAUUCAUGGGAUACAUCCAGGGGUCAACCUCGGAGGAAGGUGGGGAUGACGUCACAUCAUCAUGCCCCUUAUGUGUUGGGCUUCCACGCAUGCUACAAUGGCUCGGUACGAAGGGCUGCAAUACCGGCGAGGUGGAGGGAAUCACCAAAAACCGUUCCCAGUUCGGAUAGAGGUCUGCAACUAGACCUCGUGGAGUCGGAGUCGGUAGUGAUCCCAGAUCAGCAACGCUCCGGUGGAUACGUUACCGGGUCUUGUACACCCCGCCCGUCAAGUCAUGAAAGUCUGGUAACACACUGAAAGCCGGU